CGCCCAUAUUACGUUAAAACACCUGUUCCUCUCCGAUCACCGAAGUUAAGCAACGUCGAGCCUGGUCAGUACUUAGAAAGGCCAAUGCUUGGUGAUAUCAAGUGCUGUAAG
Acanthosepion pharaonis is the source of this 111-nucleotide non-coding RNA. The record is from the annotation of a GenBank genome assembly. Lineage: Eukaryota; Metazoa; Mollusca; Cephalopoda; Sepiida; Sepiidae.